GAUGAAGAACGCAGUAAAAUGCGAUAAGUAAUGUGAAUUGCAGAAUUCAGUGAAUCAUCGAAUCUUUGAACGCACAUUGCGCCCGCUGGUAUUCCGGCGGGCAUGCCUGUUCGAGCGUCAUUUCAACCCUCAAGCCCCCGGGUUUGGUGUUGGGGAUCGGCUCUGCCCUUCUGGGCGGUGCCGCCCCCGAAAUACAUUGGCGGUCUCGCUGCAGCCUCCAUUGCGUAGUAGCUAACACCUCGCAACUGGAACGCGGCGCGGCCAUGCCGUAAAACCCCAACUUCUGAAUGUUGACCUCGGAUCAGGUAGGAAUACCCGCUGAACUUAAGCAUAUCAUAAGCGGAGGA
RNAcentral lists this unclassified non-coding RNA (347 nucleotides) under soil metagenome. Its description in RNAcentral is "partial contains 5.8S ribosomal RNA, internal transcribed spacer 2, and large subunit ribosomal RNA". The stretch from base 1 to 120 matches the Rfam family "5.8S ribosomal RNA", at positions 35 to 154 of the family's 154-position model. The record is from RNAcentral.